AGGUGAAUGUGGAACAAGAACUAGAUUUUAUAUAAAAGAGUUUAUUCCUUCUACUUGAGGUGUGACGUGAAGAAAAGUAAUGGAAAUCCUUCUGCCCUCCCAUUCUCAAGGGCUGGGGGAAUUCUAAUAUUGGAAUCAUUCAUUUGGGAAGCUUUUGUCUCAGAACUCCUGUGAUGCUCCCUGUACCUUGACGUGAUUUUGGAAUUGCAUGGAAUUCUCACUGCCUUCCCAAAGAAAUGCUGAUUUGGCAUUCUUACCUGUUCCAUUCCCUGGGCAGAAGAAAAGGAUGCACUCCAAAGGUCGGAAAUGAUGUUGAUGGAAGACAACAUUUGCCUCUUGGAAUUCUCACCUGCACACCAAAGAAGUGCUGAUUUUGUCAUUUGCACCAGCUUCUUUCUCCAGGAAAGGUCAAAACAAUGCACUCCAAGGGACCUGAAGCAAGAGAAUGAAUUAAGGAAAACUCCAGAGAAUGAGCUGACAGCUUACUCCCCGGUCAGUGGCUCUCCAUGCCCACCUGUGGUCUCUUGGACACCCUUGCAGAACACAACUUCCUCGGAACUCUUCUGGGAGUGAAUGUUAUCAGCAAAUUACUAAACAAACACCCCCUUAGACAAAGAGCUGCCUCACCUGUGCAUUGCCUCGGCCACCUGCUAAAGGUGAUGGCCACAAAGAGGUGGAUUUGUUGAGUUGUUGCCAUUCCUUCUACUGCCAGCUUCACCAAAACAUUGACAGUCUUCCUUAUGCAUGGAGACUCCUCUCUUCCCUGUGUUGCAGUGGAUACCUCCUGCAGAUAAGAAAUGCUUAACUGAGAAAUGCUCAUGUUGGGAUAUCAUCGAUGAGACUUUAAUUUGGGCAUGGUGACUGUUUCCCUUGCUGCCACUUGACUCAAUCCCAGGAGCCUCAGUAGAGGAUAUAAUAUUACACAAGCUGCUCAAAAUGGUGGAAUUGCUCAGUACUCCCAUAAAUAUACAUUUAUAGUUUUCAUUUGCCACAUGGUAAACUGAAAAAUAUAGAUAUAUUGAAAAGAAACUGCAUGAUUUUUUCAAAAAUUCAAAGCACAUUUAAAUAAUUAAUAUAUAAAUUAAAUGCCCUCCUCUCUUCCAGUUCUAUCCCUAUAGUUUUCCUCUAUUGAGUGAGCUGCAUGCAUUCUUUAGUGGACAGAUGCACACAAACACACAAGCCAUUUUGGGGAAGGAUCCGGGAGUGUGGCCAUAUUGUAACACAUUUUUCUGCAAAUUACCUCUUUCAUUUAACAGCUCUUAUUCAGUGGCCUUUUUCUUUUUCAGUAAUACAUACACAUCUGUGUCAUUUGUUGAAUGAUGACAUGAAUGUUUUGUAGAUGAAAUAUAAUUAAAUGUUUUAAGCAUUUCUCACUCAUAGAUAUUUAUGUUAGCACCAAAUUUCUGUGCAAUGAACCUCCCUCUAUAUAAAUAAUUUUGCAUGUCUAUUAUAUCAUAAUAAAUUAUUAUCAGUUGACUUACUGGGAUUAAGUAUAUGCACACUUCAUAUUUUGAAAAUUAUCGCAAGAUUGCCUUCAAAAAAUGUGGUUAACAACUUUAUCCUCAAAUGGCCAUGAAUGAGAUUGCCAGCUUUCCUACAACCUCACAGACAAUGGAGUUCAUAAAUAUUUAAGAUUUUUACCAAUGUGAUCACCCAACUAUUGUCUUAAAUUGUAUUUCUUUUGUUUUUGAGUUUGGUCAUUUUUUCAUGUUUAUUAGCCAUCUGUAUUUUUUAAUUUCUUCUUUAUGUCCAAUUUUGUGGGUGGGAGGAGGAUUUAGUCUCUUCCUGAUUUCAAAGAGCUCAUUUACUAUUUUGGAAAAUAAGAUUUGGAUUGUCAACCAUUAUAGCUAUUUUUGACACACUUUUUAACUUUGUUUUUAUUAUAAGAAUGUGUAUGAUUGUUAUAUGUCAAAGUAUAACCAUGUUUGCUUUUACGGCUUCUGAGUUUCAUGUCAUUUUUGGAAAGAUUAAUAUAUAUACUGAGUCCAUAAAAUCCUUCACCUAUGUUAAAUUCUAA
This is a long non-coding RNA of Sapajus apella (tufted capuchin), 2017 nucleotides long. RefSeq lists it as uncharacterized. Lineage: Eukaryota; Metazoa; Chordata; Mammalia; Primates; Cebidae. The record is from RefSeq and is a predicted model, not a curated record. The transcript is spliced from 7 exons.